UGCCCCCCCGGGGGGGCCCCCAGUACCUGGAACAGGAACGUGGUCCAGUUGGCCUCCAUGGCUGCGGCAGCCGACCCCCCUCCUCCCCACUCCCCCCGCUCGGGGAGCCUCCUCAGCCGGAGGAGGCGACAACAAAGCGGCGGCGGCGGCGGCGGCGGCAGCGGCAGCGGCGGCUCCUCAACAUGGCAGCGCCGAGCGCGGCCACUUCCGCGUCAGGAGAUGUCACUGAGGUGACCCCAGCCUCUGUUUGCAGUUCCAAGUCUUCCGUGUAGGCGUCACUGCUACUGGAACUUUGUAGAUGAGGAGCCUGUAUGAUGAUGUCCUGAACGUUUUCUAGCCUUUCCUCACAGAGUCACCAGAAUGAAGGGGCUGGAAAACGCUGGUCUGGUUCCUUUUAGAGCUGAUUCCCCAUUGGAUACUGCCUGGAGGCCUUGGGGAGGAAUGAGAAGUUCUGCAGUUUGGAUCAGAAGCAGUGGAUAUCAAGUCUCUGCUUCUGCCCUACCUUAACACAUUCAUUUCAUGGUCUCUGUAAAGCAUCUCUUCAGUUUUCUUCCUCCCACGUACAGCCUCUCCUCCUUAGCUGCUGCCUUUCAAACUGUGGUGAAAAUGAAGCUUCAGGAUUGUGAAAACUAGUAUUUAAUGAAGACCAUUACUCUAAUGACUGUAUUGCUGAACUCUCUUGAACUCCUUACCCUGGGAUCUAGAAAUGCUUUCUCCAGCAAUCUUUCUCACAGCACCUCUAAGGAGGGGUUUUCCCACUAACAGGAAGUAGAGGUUGAGUGAAGAAAGUCCAGUUCUCAUUACUGAAGAGGUGGGAUCCAGAAGUAUCAAUUUUCUUGAGGAAAACGGCUAAUUUUAUCUUUAUCCAUAAGACAAAACUGGAAUUCCUAAUUGUUCCCCAGACUCUCCCUUAUAAAGAAAAAUUAACAACCUUUUAAAUUUAGAUGCAAUUUUAAAAAUCUGGAAAAUAUCCAAAACUUUGGAAUAAGUAUUCAAAAACAAUCAGCUCCAACUGUUAGAGGAAUAUAAUGAAACCAGUAAAAUCAAAGACUCCAUCUCUAGAAGGGGCAAUUUUACCUUUAGAACAGUCAAUAUUCUUAACCACAAACAAAACAAGCCCCUUCUCAAGCCACCUGCCACAGAUUAUAUACUGGGGUCCAGUCAAAGAAACAUGUCUAAAGACAGUAAAUUCAUCCACUCAAAAGUCAGAUCCCCAACUCACCCUGUUCAGGUUACUCCUCCCACCCCGAACUGUAUGACCUUUUACCUAAUCUUUCAGUGACUCAGUUUCCUCAUGUGGAAAAUAAGAACAAAAUACCCAUCUCACAGGGAUGACCUGUGGAUUAAAUGACAAAUAUAUGUAAAAUGCUUACAACAUUUCUGAAAUAUAAAAGGUACUAAGUAAAUAUUUUUAUUGGUGCUAUUGAAUGGUUCUAGAUUAAAAGAUUAACUUUGGAGCUGAAAACUACACACACGAGCUCUGAGCCAGUUAAUUAUUCCUCUCACUUUCUCUCAAAGAGAUAGGUUUUCUCUCAUCCCUCUCUCCUUCAAAGAGCCCUAAGGUCUAUUUCCCUAAAGACAACUUUUUAGAAAAAAUUUAUUGAGGCAUAAUUGAUU
Molecule: long non-coding RNA, 1617 nt
Organism: Cynocephalus volans (Philippine flying lemur)
Lineage: Eukaryota; Metazoa; Chordata; Mammalia; Dermoptera; Cynocephalidae
Exons: 4
Source: RefSeq, a predicted model, not a curated record